RNAcentral lists this ribosomal RNA (185 nucleotides) under Bacillus cereus. Its description in RNAcentral is "partial 16S ribosomal RNA". It matches the Rfam family "Bacterial small subunit ribosomal RNA", at positions 1 to 178 of the family's 1533-position model. The record is from RNAcentral. Lineage: Bacteria; Bacillati; Bacillota; Bacilli; Caryophanales; Bacillaceae.
CUUUAUUGGAGAGUUUGAUCCUGGCUCAGGAUGAACGCUGGCGGCGUGCCUAAUACAUGCAAGUCGAGCGAAUGGAUUAAGAGCUUGCUCUUAUGAAAUUAGCGGCGGACGGGUGAGUAACACGUGGGUAACCUGCCCAUAAGACUGGGAUAACUCCGGGAAACCGGGGCUAAUACCGGAUAACA